AUGGCAGCAGCAGCAGCAAGCAGAGAGGAGCGGUGGAGCCUCGCCGGCAAGACGGCCCUCGUCACCGGCGGAACCAAAGGAAUCGGGCGCGCGAUCGUGGAGGAGCUCGCGGGGUUCGGCGUCCGGGUGCACACAUGCGCCCGGAGCGACGCCGACGUGCAGGAGCGGCUGCGCGGGUGGGCCGCCGACGCCGACGCGGGCCGCCUGAGCGGGCGCGUCACGGCCUCCGCCUGCGACGUGUCCGUGCGCGGCGACCGGGAGGCGCUCAUGGCCACGGCCCGCGCCGAGCUGGGGGGCAAGCUGGACAUCCUCGUCAACAACGCCGGGCAGACCUUCUUCAUGCCGGCCACGGAGAGCACGGCGGACGACUACGCCCGCCUCAUGGCCACCAACCUCGAGUCGUGCUUCCACCUUGCGCAGCUCGCGCACCCGCUCCUCGUCGCCGCGGGGGGCGGCAGCGUGGUGAACAUCUCCUCCGUCGCCGCGGCCAUCGCGUACCCGGUGCUUUCGGUGUACUCGGCGACCAAGGUGGCCAUGAACCAGCUCAGCCGCAACCUCGCCGUGGAGUGGGCGAGCGACGGCAUCCGCGUGAACUGCGUCGCGCCGGGGGGCAUCCGGAGCGACAUCCUCCAGAGCAGCGGCAUCGAGGUUGACAUGGAGGCGUUGCUAGAGAUGGGGAAGAAGGAGAACGAGCGCGUCGCGCUGGGCCGCAUGGGCGAGCCGGAGGAGGUCGCGUCGCUCGUCACGUUCCUGUGCAUGCCGGCCGCGUCCUACAUCACCGGGCAGGUCAUCUACGUCGACGGCGGUCGCACCAUAGCGGCCUAG
RNAcentral lists this ribosomal RNA (825 nucleotides) under Triticum aestivum (bread wheat). Its description in RNAcentral is "partial small subunit ribosomal RNA". Lineage: Eukaryota; Viridiplantae; Streptophyta; Magnoliopsida; Poales; Poaceae. The record is from RNAcentral.